GUUUAUCUUCAGGGCAGGGUGUAAUUCCCGACCGGCGGUGAUAGUCCGCGACACGUGAUUUUUUCACGCUGAGCUGGUGAAAUUCCAGUGCCGACAGUAAAGUCUGGUAUGUAGAAGAUUAAA
RNAcentral lists this non-coding RNA (123 nucleotides) under Lentilactobacillus farraginis. Its description in RNAcentral is "Lactobacillus farraginis FMN sequence". It matches the Rfam family "FMN riboswitch aptamer (RFN element)". Rfam says of the family: The RFN element is a highly conserved domain that is found frequently in the 5'-untranslated regions of prokaryotic mRNAs that encode for flavin mononucleotide (FMN) biosynthesis and transport proteins. This element is a metabolite-dependent riboswitch that directly binds FMN in the absence of proteins. Lineage: Bacteria; Bacillati; Bacillota; Bacilli; Lactobacillales; Lactobacillaceae. The record is from RNAcentral.